UACGGAGUGGGCUAGCGUUGUUCGGAAUUACUGGGCGUAAAGCGCACGUAGGCGGCUUUGUAAGUUAGAGGUGAAAGCCCGGGGCUCAACUCCGGAAUUGCCUUUAAGACUGCAUCGCUAGAAUUGUGGAGAGGUAAGUGGAAUUCCGAGUGUAGAGGUGAAAUUCGUAGAUAUUCGGAAGAACACCGGUGGCGAAGGCGGGUCUCUGGGCCAUUACUGACGCUGAGGAGCGAAAGCGUGGGGAGCGAACAGG
This 253-nucleotide ribosomal RNA is filed under the name uncultured bacterium. RNAcentral's name for it is "partial 16S ribosomal RNA". It matches the Rfam family "Bacterial small subunit ribosomal RNA", at positions 524 to 776 of the family's 1533-position model. The record is from RNAcentral.